CAACUCAAACUAACAGACCUCUAGCUAUGAUUAUGAGUAAAACAUAUGAAAAACUAUUAAUAACACAGACAUGUCUUUGAGAGGAAGGUCAAUGCUAAGGAGUUAAUGUUACAUUUUUGGUCCCUGAGAAGGUAGAACACCAAGAUUCCAUCAAAUCCUGCUUGAUGGGUGAACUAUUUCCAUGGUGUCAGACACAGUUAAGGACAACUUCAUCAGACCACUGGAGCCAACUGAUCAGUCAUGAACAGAUCUAAACUAAAGCUUCUUCUCUCUGCAGGUUCCUACUCAGUCCCAGGAAUUCUAAGUCAGGAUCAAGCAGGCAUCAAAGAAGAGUGAUGGGCAGAGCUCUGCAGAUUGCUCUUCUGCGUUAGUUGAGAAGCUCAGAAAAGAGAGGUAUCAUCUCCCAAUAAGAAUUAGGCAGCCCGACAGUAGCCUGUGACCAACAAACACCUCAGUCUCCGUGGACUCAUCCACGCCUACAGACGGUGCAUCUCAAGCACUUUACAGAUGUCUAGGAACUGGCCUCUAGAAGUGAGCACAGUAUUUACAAAGAGCUGAGAGGUCAAUGAAGAAGGAAGAUGAGAGGUGACUGCCUACUUUAAUAGUACUUUCUUCUAUCAGAUGAGAAACCCAAAGAAAAACCCAAAGAUCAAUCUAUUGACUACACCUAGAAUCAACUUCUGGAAAUAAAACUGCAGAUAACAAAUUGGCUUGAAAAGUAGGAAUUGAAAGAAUAUUUCUUAUUGCUGAAUCAAGAGCAGCAAAGUGUAUUUCACUAACUUUCUAAUGUGAAAAGACCAUAAUAACAUCUGAGUGAUGAUACCCCCUGAAGACCCACCUGUGGGGAGUUCUUGCUCCCCAUGUGGCAGCGGAGAGACUGCCCUUCCUCUCCGGAUUCUUCUUUGCAGAGAUGGAGCAGUCCUAUAGAACAGCAAAGUACUCAGGGUGAUCUCGGUGCUGGGUUUGGGUUAGAAUCCUUAAUAGGCCCUACACUUGACCACUGAGCAGAACAGGAAGCAAUCUUUUUAAAUGCAAAGAUUCAGAGGAGAAAACAAGGCAUUGUCCAAGUAAGAGAGGAGAGACAUGGCCUAUUUAGAUAUCUAUCCAGGUAAAUGUGCAAGUUUUAAUCACAAACAUAAGAUUUUACAGGAGGCUUGAAAACAAAUGGACAAUUUUUUCCUUAGUUUUAUCAAAGAUAAAACCCAGAGAAUAGCAUAAUAAUGAAAAUGUUUACUUUUGGAAAGAUCACUGUAAGACCUAUUCCCUUUCUCUUUAAAGCUUUUAUUUUUUUUAAUUCCAAAUAAAUUAUAAAAACACAGAUUUGUAAAAUAAAUACUGUAAGUCAGAAGUUAUAUGCUGUAUGUCAAACUUGAAAAGUAGGCUGUUAGACUGCUGGUCAUGUCAAUUACUUCCAGGCUACAGUCACACUUGGAAUACAAUGGAUGAUAUGAAUUGCAUUCCACUGGAAGAAAAGCUGUGCAUCCUACCAAAGUAAUCUGCUAAACAGAUAUAAAUUUGGAAGAGUCUAACUAUUCACUAUAACUUACCACCUUCAAGAGACGACAAGUUGUUUAUACUUCGAGUUUUUAUUUUACUAAAAAAAAAAAAAAAAUCAUAGGGAGAUAAUCCAGAAAAUAUCACCUCUAAGUAUCUAUGGAAUAACCACGGAUUAACUGCAAUCAGGAACAUCAAUAGAUUGAUUUAAAUAAACUAAGCUUCACAUGUGAAUUGCAACCAAAAAAAAAGGUUGAAGUUGAACUCUUUGAACACCUGUAUAAGGACAAUUCCAACGGAGACAGUGGUGAACCCACAGGCCAUGCCCAAGAAGUCCACCAGACCCACGUUGCUCCACUCUCGGAAGAGGAUGGCU
This 1870-nucleotide long non-coding RNA is filed under the name Bos taurus (domestic cattle). Its description in RNAcentral is "long non-coding RNA NONBTAT010568". Lineage: Eukaryota; Metazoa; Chordata; Mammalia; Artiodactyla; Bovidae. The record is from RNAcentral.